Molecule: ribosomal RNA, 260 nt
Filed under: Escherichia coli
Lineage: Bacteria; Pseudomonadati; Pseudomonadota; Gammaproteobacteria; Enterobacterales; Enterobacteriaceae
Description: partial 16S ribosomal RNA
Rfam family: Bacterial small subunit ribosomal RNA
Source: RNAcentral
CCAAAGAGGGGGACCUUCGGGCCUCUUGCCAUCGGAUGUGCCCAGAUGGGAUUAGCUAGUAGGUGGGGUAACGGCUCACCUAGGCGACGAUCCCUAGCUGGUCUGAGAGGAUGACCAGCCACACUGGAACUGAGACACGGUCCAGACUCCUACGGGAGGCAGCAGUGGGGAAUAUUGCACAAUGGGCGCAAGCCUGAUGCAGCCAUGCCGCGUGUAUGAAGAAGGCCUUCGGGUUGUAAAGUACUUUCAGCGGGGAGGAA